This 65-nucleotide transfer RNA is filed under the name Anacestra spiniger. RNAcentral describes it as "tRNA-Asn". The record is from RNAcentral. Lineage: Eukaryota; Metazoa; Arthropoda; Insecta; Hemiptera; Alydidae.
UUAAUUGAAGCCAAAAAGAGGCUAUUCAUUGUUAAUGAAUAAAUUGAUUAUAAAAUCCAAUUAAA